This 1293-nucleotide long non-coding RNA is filed under the name Salmo trutta (river trout). RNAcentral describes it as "lncRNA (ENSSTUG00000035917.1)". The record is from RNAcentral. Lineage: Eukaryota; Metazoa; Chordata; Actinopteri; Salmoniformes; Salmonidae.
UCUUCUAAACAGAGUACAGCUGCUGAUGUGCUGUGUACUGUAGUUGGUGGUGAAGCAGUCUGAAGUAUAAGAGAAAUGUCGAGAGGAAGACAAAAUCAACGCUUGAAGAAACUGAUCAUCCUUCGAGGUUUGCCAGGAGUUGGAAAGACAAGCAAGGCAGAAAUGCUCUGUGAUGAAUAUGCAGGACUUGGACUGGAAGGAGAAAUUUUCUCCACUGACAGGUACCAUGAAAGAACCGACUACACCAAAGGAAACUUUCAACGCAACCAUCGGCGGAAUAGAGAGGAUGGUGUGUAUUGGGUGGCUGGGGGCAGGGGCAGAAACAAUCUGCUCAUGAUGUCAUUACACACACAUAGUUUGUUCUUCUUUAAAGUACUGGUACUCUGGCUUGUUUUGACAGUUUUUAAAGCCUUGAACAGAGGAGUGGAUCCGAUCAUCGUUGACAACACAAACAUUUCUCUUUGGGAGAUGUGGCCCUAUAUCCACAUGGGGAUGCGACAGGGUGACUAUGACAUCACUAUGAUGGAGCUGCCUAAAGGCUAUCCUCAGAACAAAAUCUCCAUCAACAAGCUGUACAGGUCAGAAACAACCUCUUCAUUAACAGCCUACAUUCUCACAGUGUAUACACAGUACAUGUGCAUUGGGGUAGGAUUGUAUACUUGUUUACCAGUUUUACAGCCAUCAAUAGAUUGUUAUUAAUUAUCUAUAAAUGAUACAUUGGUUAUCAAUUCAAUGAUAAAAAAAGCUGUGUUAUCUCCCUAUAGAUGGUGUAAGCAUAAGAUCCCCAAGCGUAAGUUCAGGUACUUUGAGGCUCGCUGGGAAGAAGCUUACAACAUCUGGCAUGUAUUUAACGACAGCUACUCCAUAAACCACUGGGAGCAACGCGAAGAGAAAUGGAACGUCCAGUGAUGAAGACAUGCUGGCCUUCUCCCCCCCCCAAAGUCCCCAAAAUCCAGAACAAACUCAAGAAAGCGUACAGUAUUAUAUAGAGCCCUUAUUGCAUGGAACUUCCUUCCAUCUCAUAUUGCUCAAAUAAACAGUAAACCUGGUUUCAAAAAACAUAAAGCAACACCUCACGGCACAACGUCUCUCCCCUAUUUGACCUAGAUAGUUUGUGUGUGUGCAUUGAUAUGUAGGCUACGUGUGCCUUUUAAAAAUGUAUGCAGUUCUGUCCUUGAGCUGCUCUUGUCUAUGAAUGUUCUGUAUUAUGUAGUUCUGUAUUUCAUGUUUUGUGUUGACCCCAGGAAGAGUAGCUGCUGCUUUUGCAACAGAUAAUGGGAAUCCUAUUAAAAU